Long non-coding RNA from Cyprinus carpio (common carp), 1139 nucleotides. NCBI's taxonomy places the organism in Eukaryota, Metazoa, Chordata, Actinopteri, Cypriniformes, Cyprinidae. The record is from Ensembl.
CAGUUUAUUUGUGUGAUAAGACAGUAAGGAGCUCUUCAUUCUGUGUAGGUGAAGAUGCGCUGUGGGGCAGGUCAGGUGAGACUGGCCUCUACGGUGGAAUGUGUUUUCCCAUCCACCUACUCCUGUAACGUCACAUGUGGACCUCAGGGUGGGACUUUGGAUGUUGGGAUGGGCAUUUGUCACUGCGAUAGGUACGUGUCAGCGGAGGAGCUGUGUAACUCUUCAUGUGUGUCCACACUGCCGGUGCUCUCUGCCAGACUGGAUACAGACGGACAGCUACUGUUGAGAAUCAAAGCCGCAGAUGAAAGCAAAACCUGGAGCAGGGAUAUGAUAAAUAUACUAGGACCUGAUGUUCAUGUCAAGAACAUAGGAAGGAUCCACUUCGUCCAGUUCGCUCCUGAGGGAGUGUUUGGUUGGAUUUUAAAAGACCCCUUGCUCGUUGAUUCUUUAGUAAGAGAACCUGUUGAAAUUCUGAAGAGUGAUUUCAGGAAGAAACGACAUGCUGAUCAGAAUGAGGUUUCCGAGCCUCUUCCACGGAUCCCAAAUCCCAUCGCAUGUCUGUCCCCAAAUGAUAUGCUCAUCUUUCAGCUCACCAUCAACCACACCGGUAUGGCUUUGUCAAAUACAGCACUAAUAAUAAAAGAUGCCUAGUGUAUGGUAUGCAUGUGUCAUGUCAUUCUGUGAUUUUAGACCGCCACUACAGUCACAUCCCAGUGUACCAGAAGGAUCACCUGUUCAGCAGUAACCCUGGCUGGGAUUUUGGGGCAUUUAGACGUCUGCAGCAUCUUGUCAAACACACACAGCUAAAUUCCAGCAGGUAAGACUAGAUAGGUAUAUCACAUGUAGCUUUCAACACAGAUAUGCAGCUGAUCUGCAUUGAUUUAUCUUGUUAGAUUUGCGCAUGUGUUCAUGGAGCCGGGAAAGUAUGUGUUCCUGGAUAACGCAGUGCCCGACUGGACUCUGAUAGUGGUUGUGAGUGAACAGGGCUCCGAGUGUAACCCCACAAUGGCUGCCUUCCAGCCGACGACUCCUGCACAGCUUGUGCGACACGGGAUUGUUAAACAACACAGCUUAAACCUGCUUCCAGACUGGGGGCUCAUCAUAGGUGAGUCAACAAUAAAAGUGGGGUGCUUUUGACA